GGGGUUGUGGCUUAGUGGUAGAGUACUUGCCUAGCAUGCAUGAGGCACUGGGUUCAAUGCUCAGCACCACA
Molecule: transfer RNA, 71 nt
Filed under: Marmota monax (woodchuck)
Lineage: Eukaryota; Metazoa; Chordata; Mammalia; Rodentia; Sciuridae
Description: tRNA.Ala
Rfam family: tRNA
About the family: Transfer RNA (tRNA) molecules are approximately 80 nucleotides in length. Their secondary structure includes four short double-helical elements and three loops (D, anti-codon, and T loops).
Source: RNAcentral